AGGCAGUUAGUUUAAACCAAAACAUUUGAUUUCGGCUCAAAAGCCUGUGGUUCAAAUCCACAACUACCUA
Molecule: transfer RNA, 70 nt
Filed under: Monocentris japonica
Lineage: Eukaryota; Metazoa; Chordata; Actinopteri; Trachichthyiformes; Monocentridae
Description: tRNA-Arg
Rfam family: tRNA
About the family: Transfer RNA (tRNA) molecules are approximately 80 nucleotides in length. Their secondary structure includes four short double-helical elements and three loops (D, anti-codon, and T loops). Further hydrogen bonds mediate the characteristic L-shaped molecular structure. tRNAs have two regions of fundamental functional importance: the anti-codon, which is responsible for specific mRNA codon recognition, and the 3' end, to which the tRNAs corresponding amino acid is attached (by aminoacyl-tRNA synthetases). tRNAs cope with the degeneracy of the genetic code in two manners: having more than one tRNA (with a specific anti-codon) for a particular amino acid; and 'wobble' base-pairing, i.e. permitting non-standard base-pairing at the 3rd anti-codon position.
Source: RNAcentral